RNAcentral lists this ribosomal RNA (253 nucleotides) under uncultured bacterium. Its description in RNAcentral is "partial 16S ribosomal RNA". It matches the Rfam family "Bacterial small subunit ribosomal RNA", at positions 524 to 776 of the family's 1533-position model. The record is from RNAcentral.
UACGAAGGGGGCUAGCGUUGUUCGGAAUUACUGGGCGUAAAGCGCACGUAGGCGGGUUGUUAAGUCAGGGGUGAAAUCCUGGAGCUCAACUCCAGAACUGCCUUUGAUACUGGCAACCUAGAGACUGGAAGAGGUUAGUGGAAUUCCCAGUGUAGAGGUGAAAUUCGUAGAUAUUGGGAAGAACACCAGUGGCGAAGGCGGCUAACUGGUCCAGCACUGACGCUCAUGCACGAAAGCGUGGGGAGCAAACAGG